AACGACACAAACCUGAUUUAUUUCACAACAAUGCAGCAUGAGGGUAUUUCUUUUGUUUCAGUAAAGGAUUUGUUUAGGAAUCAAAUAAUGUUUUCAAAAUGGAGAUAACCGUUGAGUCUUAAUGGUGUAAAUGUUUUAGAUAAAAUGAAGCCUAAAAUAAUAUACUUGAGCUCAGUUUGGGAAGGCUUAGUGACAAUCCUAGUGUGACGUCAUGGAGGAGCUAGCUCGCGCUAACUAAGAUUCCUUAUGACAAGCGAGGAGAAUGUAUAGCCGGCGGCCAUGGACGGAAAUAGAACCAACAGCCUGGCAAUAAACUGUCAAGGGACAAGAAGCAAAAAGGUUAAAAUGAGGAGGAGGAACAGCACAGAACCAGCUAAUGAAAGACGGACUGUACUACAGAAAAUCCUCCACAACAACAGGAGGGAAACCAGAGAGCAUCUACAACCGUAUGUGAUAAAGGUGAAUGUAUUCUGUCUUCAUUUGAACACACUUCCAUUCCCUCUCUGAUACUGAUGAAGCUCUAAUAAGGAAUUGAUUUUUUUUAGGGAGACGAAGGAUUGUGACCUUCUGACCCCAUUGCUCCUUGUCGGUUUUGCAAGGAACCGUCUCCGUCCCUGAGAAUCGAUGCAGCGGGGGCCUCCUGGCCCUCCU
This is a long non-coding RNA of Gasterosteus aculeatus aculeatus (three-spined stickleback), 651 nucleotides long. Lineage: Eukaryota; Metazoa; Chordata; Actinopteri; Perciformes; Gasterosteidae. The record is from Ensembl.